CCCUUAGAUGUUCUGGGCCGCACGCGCGCUACACUGAUGCAUUCAACGAGCCUAGCCUUGACCGAGAGGUCCGGGUAAUCUUUGAAACUGCAUCGUGAUGGGGCUAGAUUAUUGCAAUUAUUAAUCUUCAACGAGGAAUGCCUAGUAAGCGUGAUUCAUCAAAUCGCGUUGAUUACGUCCCUGCCCUUUGUACACACCGCCCGUCGCUCCUACCGAUUGAGUGUGUUGGUGAGGAGUUUGGAUUGGCCUCGGAAGGUGGUUCGCCACCGUCCGUAGCUGAGAAGUUCUCCAAACCGCCCACUUAGAGGAAGGAGAAGUCGUAACA
This 325-nucleotide ribosomal RNA is filed under the name uncultured eukaryote. RNAcentral's name for it is "partial 18S ribosomal RNA". It matches the Rfam family "Eukaryotic small subunit ribosomal RNA", at positions 1470 to 1796 of the family's 1831-position model. The record is from RNAcentral.